CAGAGGAAAAGCAGAACCGCCCCCAUGGGU
This 30-nucleotide small RNA is filed under the name Bombyx mori (domestic silkworm). Its description in RNAcentral is "ovarian small RNA-13133". The record is from RNAcentral. Lineage: Eukaryota; Metazoa; Arthropoda; Insecta; Lepidoptera; Bombycidae.